CGUGGGUCGGCUUUAGUGAGAGUCUGACGGGCGUAGCGAUACGUCAUUGGCAGACGGGUGAGUAACGCGUGGGAACGUAGCUUUUGGUUCGGAACAACUGAGGGAAACUUCACCUAAUAGCGGAUAAGCCCUGACGGGGAAAGAUUUAUCGCCGAAAGAUCGGCCCGCGUCUGAUUAGCUAGUUGGUGAGGUAAUGGCUCACCAAGGCGACGAUCAGUAUCUGGUCUGAGAGGAUGAUCGGCCACGUUGGGACUGAGACACGGCCCAAACUCCUACGGGAGGCAGCAGUGGGGAAUAUUGGACAAUGGGGGCAACCCUGAUCCAGCCAUGCCGCGUGAGUGAUGAAGGCCCUAGGGUUGUAAAGCUCUUUUGUGCGGGAAGAUAAUGACGGUACCGCAAGAAUAAGCCCCGGCUAACUUCGUGCCAGCAGCCGCGGUAAUACGAAGGGGGCUAGCGUUGCUCGGAAUCACUGGGCGUAAAGGGUGCGUAGGCGGGUUUCUAAGUCAGAGGUGAAAGCCUGGAGCUCAACUCCAGAACUGCCUUUGAUACUGGAAGUCUUGAGUAUGGCAGAGGUGAGUGGAACUGCGAGUGUAGAGGUGAAAUUCGUAGAUAUUCGCAAGAACACCAGUGGCGAAGGCGGCUCACUGGGCCAUUACUGACGCUGAGGCACGAAAGCGUGGGGAGCAAACAGGAUUAGAUACCCUGGUAGUCCACGCCGUAACGAUGAAUGCCAGCCGUUAGUGGGUUUACUCACUAGUGGCGCAGCUAACGCUUUAAGCAUUCCGCCUGGGGAGUACGGUCGCAGAUUAAACUCAAGGAU
This 820-nucleotide ribosomal RNA is filed under the name uncultured Rhodopseudomonas sp. RNAcentral's name for it is "bacterial SSU rRNA". It matches the Rfam family "Bacterial small subunit ribosomal RNA", at positions 63 to 908 of the family's 1533-position model. Lineage: Bacteria; Pseudomonadati; Pseudomonadota; Alphaproteobacteria; Hyphomicrobiales; Nitrobacteraceae. The record is from RNAcentral.